This 460-nucleotide ribosomal RNA is filed under the name Vibrio sp. D47. RNAcentral's name for it is "bacterial SSU rRNA". It matches the Rfam family "Bacterial small subunit ribosomal RNA", at positions 1 to 452 of the family's 1533-position model. The record is from RNAcentral. Lineage: Bacteria; Pseudomonadati; Pseudomonadota; Gammaproteobacteria; Vibrionales; Vibrionaceae.
UUAGAGUUUGAUCCUGGCUCAGAUUGAACGCUGGCGGCAGGCCUAACACAUGCAAGUCGAGCGGAAACGAGUUAACUGAACCUUCGGGGAACGUUAACGGCGUCGAGCGGCGGACGGGUGAGUAAUGCCUGGGAAAUUGCCCUGAUGUGGGGGAUAACCAUUGGAAACGAUGGCUAAUACCGCAUAAUAGCUUCGGCUCAAAGAGGGGGACCUUCGGGCCUCUCGCGUCAGGAUAUGCCCAGGUGGGAUUAGCUAGUUGGUGAGGUAAGGGCUCACCAAGGCGACGAUCCCUAGCUGGUCUGAGAGGAUGAUCAGCCACACUGGAACUGAGACACGGUCCAGACUCCUACGGGAGGCAGCAGUGGGGAAUAUUGCACAAUGGGCGCAAGCCUGAUGCAGCCAUGCCGCGUGUAUGAAGAAGGCCUUCGGGUUGUAAAGUACUUUCAGCAGUGAGGAAGGU